CAACCGGAGGAGGCGGCGGCCACCACACCACUCCGGCACCACCAACAGGAGGCGGCGGCGGUGGAUACUAUCACUCCCCUCCUACUACACCCACAACUCCUACAACUCCUACUACACCCACAACUCCAAUUGUGAAUCCACCAACAACUCCCAUUGUAAAUCCACCAACCACUCCCAUUAUAACACCACCAACUACUCCAAUCGUUAUACCAGGGACUCCCGGAAUCACUAUACCAUCACC
RNAcentral lists this long non-coding RNA (241 nucleotides) under Erythranthe guttata (spotted monkey flower). Its description in RNAcentral is "long non-coding RNA (EGUT_LNC002182)". The record is from RNAcentral. Lineage: Eukaryota; Viridiplantae; Streptophyta; Magnoliopsida; Lamiales; Phrymaceae.